This 488-nucleotide ribosomal RNA is filed under the name uncultured Spirochaeta sp. Its description in RNAcentral is "bacterial SSU rRNA". It matches the Rfam family "Bacterial small subunit ribosomal RNA", at positions 891 to 1382 of the family's 1533-position model. The record is from RNAcentral. Lineage: Bacteria; Pseudomonadati; Spirochaetota; Spirochaetia; Spirochaetales; Spirochaetaceae.
GCUCAGAAACUUAAAGGAAUUGACGGGGCCCGCACAAGCGGUGGAGCAUGUGGUUUAAUUCGAUGGUACGCGAGGAACCUUACCAGGGCUUGACAUACGUUGGAAGCGCAUCGAAAGGUGCGUGCCGCUUGCGGCCGGCGUACAGGUGCUGCAUGGCUGUCGUCAGCUCGUGCUGUGAAGUGUUGGGUUAAGUCCCGCAACGAGCGCAACCCCUGCUGCCUGUUGCCACCACGAGAGGUGGGGACUCAGGCGGGACCGCCGGUGACAAACCGGAGGAAGUGGGGACGACGUCAAGUCAUCAUGGCCCUUAUGUCCUGGGCUACACACGUGCUACAAUGGCCGGUACAGAGCGCAGCGAGGCCGCGAGGCGGAGCGAAUCGCUUAAAGCCGGUCCCAGUACGGAUUGGAGUCUGCAACCCGACUCCAUGAAGUUGGAAUCGCUAGUAAUCGCGCAUCAGCAUGGCGCGGUGAAUACGUUCCCGGGCCUU